GCGGUGGAGCAUGUGGUUAAUUCGAAGCAACGCGAAGAACCUUACCAGGCCUUGACAUCCCUGACAACCAAGAGAUUGGGCGUUCCCCUUCGGGGGACAGGGUGACAGGUGGUGCAUGGUUGUCGUCAGCUCGUGUCGUGAGAUGUUGGGUUAAGUCCCGCAACGAGCGCAACCCUCGCCUCUAGUUGCCAGCAUUCGGUUGGGCACUCUAGAGGGACUGCCGGCGACAAGUCGGAGGAAGUGGGAUGACGUCAAAUCAUCAUGCCCCUUAUGACCUGGGCUACACACGUGCUACAAUGGGCGGUACAAAGGGCUGCGAACCCGCGAGGGGGAGCGAAUCCCAAAAAGCCGCUCUCAGUUCGGAUUGCAGGCUGCAACUCGCCUGCAUGAAGCCGGAAUCGCUAGUAAUCGCGGAUCAGCAUGCCGCGGUGAAUACGUUCCCGGGCCUU
RNAcentral lists this ribosomal RNA (449 nucleotides) under uncultured Geobacillus sp. RNAcentral's name for it is "bacterial SSU rRNA". It matches the Rfam family "Bacterial small subunit ribosomal RNA", at positions 929 to 1382 of the family's 1533-position model. The record is from RNAcentral. Lineage: Bacteria; Bacillati; Bacillota; Bacilli; Caryophanales; Anoxybacillaceae.